UUUCCCCCUUUUGCCUCAUAUUGGGCUAAUAUACACCCCUUGAACUACAUUAAAAAAGGAAAGUAUUUACAGGAAGCCUUUAGCGAGCUUCAACCACGGUAACUGACAUAUUAUUCGCAUAUUUGAUUUUUAAACUAGCUGGUGAUGAGUAUAGAGUAGUACUAUCUUUCUUGAUGAUAGAUGAAGUUUGCUUUAGGAUGAGAGUUGUUCCAGUAUGUAACAUGAAAACUAUUACUGACGUCGUGGGCUGAUCAGGAGCAUAUUGAACAUGUAACAUGAAAACUAUUACUGACGUCGUGGGCUGAUCAGGAGCAUAUUCUUGCACGCACAAAAGACCAACAAGAAUGCACCUCAAAUCUUUGUUGUCUUUGUAAGAGUUGUCGACUGAUGAAUCUACUAUAUCCAAUGCUCUUUUUCUCUCUACAAGUCCCAA
RNAcentral lists this long non-coding RNA (433 nucleotides) under Olea europaea (common olive). Its description in RNAcentral is "long non-coding RNA (OEUR_LNC015496)". The record is from RNAcentral. Lineage: Eukaryota; Viridiplantae; Streptophyta; Magnoliopsida; Lamiales; Oleaceae.